RNAcentral lists this ribosomal RNA (709 nucleotides) under uncultured bacterium. Its description in RNAcentral is "bacterial SSU rRNA". It matches the Rfam family "Bacterial small subunit ribosomal RNA", at positions 94 to 803 of the family's 1533-position model. The record is from RNAcentral.
AGUGGCGAACGGGUGAGGAAUACAUCGGAACGUGUCUAUAAGUGGGGGAUAACGCAUCGAAAGGUGUGCUAAUACCGCAUAAUCUCUCAGGAGAAAAGCAGGGGAUCGCAAGACCUUGCGCUUUAGGAGCGGCCGAUGCCUGAUUAGCUUGUUGGUAAGGUAAAAGCUUACCAAGGCUUCGAUCAGUAGCUGGUCUGAGAGGACGACCAGCCACACUGGGACUGAGACACGGCCCAGACUCCUACGGGAGGCAGCAGUGGGGAAUUUUGGACAAUGGGGGAAACCCUGAUCCAGCCAUGCCGCGUGAGUGAAGAAGGCCUUCGGGUUGUAAAGCUCUUUCAGCCGGAACGAAACGGUUACGAUUAAUACUCGUAAUUAAUGACGGUACCGGCAGAAGAAGCACCGGCUAACUACGUGCCAGCAGCCGCGGUAAUACGUAGGGUGCGAGCGUUAAUCGGAAUUACUGGGCGUAAAGGGUCCGCAGGUUGUUUUGUAAGUCAGAUGUGAAAGCCCCGGGCUUAACCUGGGAACUGCGUCUGACACUACAAGGCUAGAGUAUGGCAGAGGGGGGUGGAAUUCCGCGUGUAGCAGUGAAAUGCGUAGAUAUGUGGGAGGAUACCGAUGGCGAACGCAGCCCCCUGGGUCAUACUGACGCUGAGGACGAAGCAUGGUGAGCCAACAGAAUAGAUACCCUGGUAGUCCAUGCCCU